Molecule: long non-coding RNA, 823 nt
Filed under: Carica papaya (papaya)
Lineage: Eukaryota; Viridiplantae; Streptophyta; Magnoliopsida; Brassicales; Caricaceae
Description: long non-coding RNA (CPAP_LNC007458)
Source: RNAcentral
AACAAUGCAAGUUUGGCUGAAUUCAGCCGAAAACAACCAACCCAAGGCGGAUCGCCGCCGUGCUGGAAUUCCAAAAUUGGCCGAGUAGGCCCUGGGUCUGAUUUUGAGUUAUUUGGGUACAUGUGCAGGUAUUGUAAGUGCGUUUCAGUUCCUAGAAAAAAAUUCAGAGAAUCUAGGGACUGCCCGUAAGCGCAGUGAAAAUCCUGGUUUCGACUUCGAAUCAGGUAAGGACCCCUCACCUUAUUUCUUAUCACGGGAUUAAAGUCUAAUAAAUGAUAAAACUGUGUUUGUAUGAAUUAAAUAGAUAUACAUAAUUAUUACAGUUGCUAAUGGAGGCCGAACUGGACAUAUUUCUCUGUCAGUUCCUGUUUGAUUUAUUUUACAGUCUAAAUGCAGUAUGGUAUCUGAUUUAUUUAUUCUAUGAUUUUGAAUGCAUGAAUCACUGUUUACCUUAUUAUGGUUUGAUUUUGUGAAUUCGAUGAUAUGCUUACCUUGUUAGAUGCUCGUUACUUGUUUAAAGUAUUCAUGUUUAUGUGAGAAACAAAAAACUAAAAAAAAAUAAAAAAAGUGUGUGAAUUAAUAAAUGUAUAAGUUGACAGCCUCAUUAGAUAUCCUGGGAGAUGGUGGACGGACCGGGUCCAUAGAACCCUACUGGGAACAUUGUCUCAUACCGGACGGGGUAUGGAGACUUUAAAUAUUUUGGUACUCAUACUGGACGGGGUAUGAGGACGGCCCGCAUCACCCUCAUACCGGACGAGGUAUUGAGGUUUAUUGUUUAGCGCCCAUACCGGACGGGGUAUGGGGACGACCCUGGAAAUUAAGU